AUUGAACGCUGGCGGCAUGCUUUACACAUGCAAGUCGAACGGUAACAGGCCUUCGGGUGCUGCCGAGUGGCGAACGGGUGAGUAAUGCAUCGGAACGUGCCCAGAGGUGGGGGAUAACGCAGCGAAAGCUGUGCUAAUACCGCAUGUGAUCUGAGGAUGAAAGCGGGGGACCAGGCAGCAAUGUUUGGCCUCGCGCCUUUGGAGCGGCCGAUGUCAGAUUAGGUAGUUGGUGGGGUAAAUGCCUACCAAGCCGACGAUCUGUAGCUGGUCUGAGAGGACGACCAGCCACACUGGGACUGAGACACGGCCCAGACUCCUACGGGAGGCAGCAGUGGGGAAUUUUGGACAAUGGGCGCAAGCCUGAUCCAGCAAUGCCGCGUGCGGGAAGAAGGCCUUCGGGUUGUAAACCGCUUUUGUACGGAACGAAAAGGCUCUGGCUAAUACCUGGGGCUGAUGACGGUACCGUAAGAAUAAGCACCGGCUAACUACGUG
RNAcentral lists this ribosomal RNA (492 nucleotides) under uncultured bacterium. Its description in RNAcentral is "partial 16S ribosomal RNA". It matches the Rfam family "Bacterial small subunit ribosomal RNA", at positions 30 to 507 of the family's 1533-position model. The record is from RNAcentral.